Molecule: ribosomal RNA, 387 nt
Filed under: uncultured bacterium
Lineage: Bacteria
Description: bacterial SSU rRNA
Rfam family: Bacterial small subunit ribosomal RNA
Source: RNAcentral
UCGCCCUUCAGGCCUAACACAUGCAAGUCGAACGGUAACAGGAAGAAGCUUCGCUUCUUUGCUGACGAGUGGCGGACGGGUGAGUAAUGUCUGGGAAACUGCCUGAUGGAGGGGGAUAACUACUGGAAACGGUAGCUAAUACCGCAUAACGUCGCAAGACCAAAGAGGGGGACCUUCGGGCCUCUUGCCAUCGGAUGUGCCCAGAUGGGAUUAGCUAGUAGGUGGGGUAACGGCUCACCUAGGCGACGAUCCCUAGCUGGUCUGAGAGGAUGACCAGCCACACUGGAACUGAGACACGGUCCAGACUCCUACGGGAGGCAGCAGUGGGGAAUAUUGCACAAUGGGCGCAAGCCUGAUGCAGCCAUGCCGCGUGUAUGAAGAAGGCCU